CAGUCGCCACGGGAAUACCAGCACCUCGAGUGGUCAGGAGGUUUAUUGGGCCUAAAGCAUCCGUAGCCGGUUGCAUAAGUUUUCGGUUAAAUCUAUGCGCUUAACGUAUAGGCCGCCGAAAAUACUGUGCAGCUAGGGAGUGGGAGAGGUACACGGUACUCGAUAGGAAGGGGUAAAAUCCUUUGAUCUAUUGACGACCACCUGUGGCGAAGGCGGUGUACCAGAACACGUUCGACGGUGAGGGAUGAAAGCUGGGGGAGCAAACCGGAUUAGAGACCCCCGUAGUCCCUGUCUCUUAUAC
RNAcentral lists this ribosomal RNA (301 nucleotides) under uncultured bacterium. Its description in RNAcentral is "partial 16S ribosomal RNA". It matches the Rfam family "Archaeal small subunit ribosomal RNA", at positions 459 to 760 of the family's 1478-position model. The record is from RNAcentral.